RNAcentral lists this unclassified non-coding RNA (348 nucleotides) under uncultured fungus. Its description in RNAcentral is "partial contains small subunit ribosomal RNA, internal transcribed spacer 1, and 5.8S ribosomal RNA". The stretch from base 1 to 138 matches the Rfam family "Eukaryotic small subunit ribosomal RNA", at positions 1759 to 1831 of the family's 1831-position model. The record is from RNAcentral. Lineage: Eukaryota; Fungi.
UCAAACUUGGUCAUUUAGAGGAAGUAAAAGUCGUAACAAGGUUUCCGUAGGUGAGUAACAACCAUUUCCCCAACGACCAUUUUGUGAUUGAUCAUUUGCUAACUGUUCUUGAUAGGUGAACCUGCGGAAGGAUCAUUACCGAGUACCGGUGCCCUCUGGGUGCCUGCUCCCACCAUUUGUGAACCAUCAACCGUUGCUUUGGCGGACCGGCUCUGCCCCCCGGCGUCGUCGGGGCGCGUCCGCCAGAGGUCUUUCAAACCCGUUCAAUCUGAAAUCAGAGUCCAAUGAAAAUAAAUCAAAACUUUCAACAACGGAUCUCUUGGUUCUGGCAUCGAUGAAGAACGCAGC